CCCUUAGAUGUUCUGGGCCGCACGCGCGCUACACUGAUGCAUUCAACGAGCCUAUCCUUGACCGACAGGUCCGGGUAAUCUUUGAAUCUGCAUCGUGACGGGGAUAGAUUAUUGCAAUUAUUAAUCUUCAACGAGGAAUGCCUAGUAGGCGCAAGUCAUAAGCUUGCGUCGAUUACGUCCCUGCCCUUUGUACACACCGCCCGUCGCUCCUACCGAUUGGGUGUGCUGGUGAAAUGUUCGGAUCGGCCGUUUGUCGCGGUUUCCGCGUCAUGUGGCUGAGAAGUUCAUUAAACCCUCCCACCUAGAGGAAGGAGAAGUCGUAACA
RNAcentral lists this ribosomal RNA (325 nucleotides) under uncultured eukaryote. RNAcentral's name for it is "partial 18S ribosomal RNA". It matches the Rfam family "Eukaryotic small subunit ribosomal RNA", at positions 1470 to 1796 of the family's 1831-position model. The record is from RNAcentral.